Molecule: transfer RNA, 69 nt
Filed under: Echmepteryx hageni
Lineage: Eukaryota; Metazoa; Arthropoda; Insecta; Psocodea; Lepidopsocidae
Description: tRNA-Asn
Source: RNAcentral
UUAAUUAAAGCCAAAAAGAGGCCUAUCAUUGUUAAUGAUAUCAUUGAAAUAUAAAUAUUUCUAAUUAAA